RNAcentral lists this ribosomal RNA (403 nucleotides) under Bacteroidota bacterium. Its description in RNAcentral is "Bacteroidetes bacterium partial 16S ribosomal RNA". It matches the Rfam family "Bacterial small subunit ribosomal RNA", at positions 355 to 776 of the family's 1533-position model. The record is from RNAcentral. Lineage: Bacteria; Pseudomonadati; Bacteroidota.
UGGGGAAUAUUGCACAAUGGGGGAAACCCUGAUGCAGCGACGCCGCGUGAACGAAGAAGGUAUUCGUAUCGUAAAGUUCUGUCGUAUGGGAAGAUAAUGACAGUACCAUAGAAGAAAGCUCCGGCUAAAUACGUGCCAGCAGCCGCGGUAAUACGUAUGGAGCGAGCGUUGUCCGGAAUUAUUGGGCGUAAAGGGUACGCAGGCGGUUUAAUAAGUCGAAUGUUAAAGAUCGGGGCUCAACCCCGUAAAGCAUUGGAAACUGAUAAACUUGAGUAGUGGAGAGGAAAGUGGAAUUCCUAGUGUAGUGGUGAAAUACGUAGAUAUUAGGAGGAAUACCAGUAGCGAAGGCGACUUUCUGGACACAAACUGACGCUGAGGUACGAAAGCGUGGGGAGCAAACAGG